GUCGAUGUUGCUGACCUCAGCAUUGGUCGCGUUCAAUUGUGACAUGUUCACGGCAUCGGUGUCCGCCACGCCAGCCGUCACGUUCUUCAACGUGCGCGUUGCACCCGCGUUGUUGGCG
This 118-nucleotide transfer RNA is filed under the name Candidatus Burkholderia humilis. RNAcentral's name for it is "tRNA-Asn". Lineage: Bacteria; Pseudomonadati; Pseudomonadota; Betaproteobacteria; Burkholderiales; Burkholderiaceae. The record is from RNAcentral.